UCUGAUACCACUUGUAGGAUACUAGUCCAUCAACCCCUGCUCCCGCACGGGUUAAUAUUUUUAGAAGCUAUUGUAUUUGAAAAUUAUUUAGAAAUUAAACUCCUAGCUAAUAAUCAAAAUUGUUUACCUACUACUCUCUUAUUUUUCAAUACUUCAACAUAAUACUUAUAUAGACAUGUAUCUAUCUUUGUCCAGAUGUGAUUGAUUUUUAAUUAAUAAUUACUCUAUGCACGUUUUCAUCCAUAUUCGUACUUUUUCCAUUUUGUAUCAC
This 271-nucleotide long non-coding RNA is filed under the name Setaria viridis. RNAcentral describes it as "long non-coding RNA (SVIR_LNC002000)". The record is from RNAcentral. Lineage: Eukaryota; Viridiplantae; Streptophyta; Magnoliopsida; Poales; Poaceae.